GAUGAACGUUGGCGGUGUGCCUAAUACAUGCAAGUCGAACGGAGACUGUAGCAAUACUGUCUUAGUGGCGAACGGGUGAGUAACGCGUUGGUGAUCUGCCUCGAAGUGUGGAAUAACCUCCCGAAAGGGAAGCUAAUACCGCAUAGUCUCUCAAGGUUUAGAAAAUUGAGAGUAAAGGAUUUAUUCGCUUCGAGAGGAGCCUGCGUCCCAUCAGCUAGUUGGUAGGGUAACGGCCUACCAAGGCAAUGACGGGUAGGGGACCUGAGAGGGUGGCCCCCCACAAUGGAACUGAAACACGGUCCAUACACCUACGGGUGGCAGCAGUAGGGAAUAUUAGAAAUGGACGAAAGUCUGAUCUAGCAACACCGCGUGUGCGAAGAAGGCCUUCGGGUCGUAAAGCACUUUUUGGAAGGAAUAGGAAGGAAUGUACUUCAGAAUAAGUCUCGGCUAACUACGUGCCAGCAGCCGCGGUAAGCUAGUCUACG
Molecule: ribosomal RNA, 485 nt
Filed under: uncultured bacterium
Lineage: Bacteria
Description: bacterial SSU rRNA
Rfam family: Bacterial small subunit ribosomal RNA
Source: RNAcentral